CGCAGCCGCGGUAAUUCCAGCUCCAAUAGCGUAUAUUAAAGUUGUUGCAGUUAAAAAGCUCGUAGUUGAAUUUCGGGAUUGGCGCAUCGGCCGUGCCUUACGGGGUAUGAACUGGUGCAGUCAAUUCUCACCUUCUGGAGAACCGCGAUGUCCUUAAUUGGGUGCCGCGGGG
Molecule: unclassified non-coding RNA, 172 nt
Filed under: uncultured Glomus
Lineage: Eukaryota; Fungi; Glomeromycota; Glomeromycetes; Glomerales; Glomeraceae
Description: sequence contains 18S rRNA gene
Rfam family: Eukaryotic small subunit ribosomal RNA
Source: RNAcentral